RNAcentral lists this transfer RNA (65 nucleotides) under Isorropodon fossajaponicum. RNAcentral describes it as "tRNA-Arg". Lineage: Eukaryota; Metazoa; Mollusca; Bivalvia; Venerida; Vesicomyidae. The record is from RNAcentral.
GAAUAGUUGGCGUAGAGUAGCGUGUAUGAUUUCGGGUCAUAAGGGGGAUAUAGAUUUACUAUUUA